GAGAUCCUAGUUACAAAAGCACCAUUGAUUGUUUCGUCAAAACAUUAAAAAUGAUGUAUGGUUUUUUCUGCUAUAUUACUUUUCCCUUUUCUUUUAUUUAAGCAUUAAUUGUAUAAAACAAAAUACUUCACAGAACUUGAUCAUAUCAAAUGAUAAGAGGUGGGUGCUUGGAGUAUUAUCUGCAACCAUUGCAAAUUGAACUAACAUCAUUUGAACUUUCAGUUUUCAUGGCAUCUUUAAACAUUCUCAUUUCUCACGCCUGCUUAUAUGCUAACAUAAAACUGUUCACUUUCAUUCUUACGUUACAUAAUAUGCUUUUUUUCUUUGCAACUCUCUGUUGUGGAAUGUGAAGGAAUUCUCCAAUAACUUAUUGUUUUAAUUGGAGAAAUAUUGAAAUCGGUAUGUCAUUUGAUUGUUUUGCAGGGACCUUUAGCCUUUUAUAAGGGAUUCUACCAAAUUCGACGGCUAGAUCUUGGAAUGUGAUCAUGUUUUUAACUCUCUAGAACAGGUAUGAGUUGAGUACCUUUGUGAUAAUCCAAAAUUUGGAUCAAAAUAAAAUAACAAUUUUUUAAUUUAAUCAAAACCAAACAUGUUCCAACUGUUGUUAUGAACGUACCCAAGGCAUUGAUAGUGACAAUUUAUCGUGUUAAUUGACUAUGUUCUUUGUUCUAACAUACAUUCUCACAAUUAACCUACAAAUUUUGCUGUUUUAAUUCCUAUGUUUUUUGUUUUGACGCAGACUAAAAAGUUUGUCAAAAGUUUGGAAUCGGCCUAAGCUCAACUAAGUAAGAGUAGAAUUUUAUGAGAAUGGUCUCAGGUGGUGGUGCUAACAGAAAUCACAGGAAAAUAAAACUUUUGUUCUCUUGAUUUUCCCUACUGGAAUGUGUGGGCAGUUUUGGGCGGAGUAGAAAUUAAGUAAUUAAGUAUUAAUAAAUGAUUAAACUUUUCAAGUAUGCUAGUUGUUAAAGUUUCAAAUCACUGUUUUAUUUCUUUGUAAUUUUCUUGCAAUUUUACUGAGCUGAAUAACUGUUAUGGGAAGUUUGACAAGAAACGCAACAAUACUAAGUGGCAACAUAUAUCGUUUAUAAAUCUAAUAAUCAUGCACUCUAUGUUAGUAGUAAUUUGGGUGAUCUUUGUUUCGUGGAAGAGUUAUAAUUGCUUUCUAAUUAGUAAAAGUCACACAUGAUGUCUCUAGAGUUUAAACAAGGCUCCUACAACCACAUAUCCUAGGAAUAUUGUC
This 1240-nucleotide long non-coding RNA is filed under the name Lathyrus oleraceus (garden pea). RNAcentral's name for it is "Pisum sativum (pea) long non-coding RNA (PSAT_LNC010845)". The record is from RNAcentral. Lineage: Eukaryota; Viridiplantae; Streptophyta; Magnoliopsida; Fabales; Fabaceae.